UAAAAGACUUAAAAUAAUCACCUCCAUGAGUCCGUCUUAUCGUCACUAAAAUAGAAAGACCUAAAGCACCCUCACAUGCUGUAAAAGUAAUAUAAACUAAAGAAUAGAAAAAGUCUCCUUUUCUCAAUAAUGCUAAUAAUAAAAGAAAAACCCCUAAUCUAAUGUAUUCAAGUCUUAAAAGAACAGACAAAAGAUGGUCCCGCUUAGAGCACACAAUCCAAAUCCCAGAAAGAAUAAUUAAACCUCUAAUAAAAGAUAAAAAUAUAAGUUUUUAUAGUUAAUUUUAUAAUAUUAGUUUUGUAAACUUAAGUGUGCUUAAAGCAUAAAAACUUCAAAAUUAAGUUAUCCACUUUUUUCCAACUUCCAAAGCUAAUAUUUUUCAUAAAUUAAAUUUUGUAUAAAAAUAUUUUUGUUAACUUCCGCAAGAAUUAGAGCUAUAUUUUAUCUAAGAAGACAUCCAGUAAUAAUAAUAGUUUUAAUUAUUUCUCAGACUAUAAUUUUAUGCAUCACUGUAUGAUUUUUUAUAAAAACUAGAUGAUUUUCCUAUAUUUUAUUUUUAAUUUUUUUGGGGGGGUUAAUAGUUUUGUUUAUUUAUAUCACUAGCCUAGCGUCAAAUGAAUUAAUUAGAUUAAAAAUAAUCACCCUCCCAAAUAGUAUUUUUAUCCCCAUAAUUUUGGUAUUCUUUAUAAUUAUAAAUGUAGACUUCCAAGAAUUUAAAGAAUCAAGAACAAGAUUUCUUAUAACAAAAACAUUUAAUUUCCUUUAUAGAUGAAACAACUGCAUUCUUUUAACCACUUCUAUACUUUAUUUAUUUUUAACCCUAGUGAUUGUAGUAAAAAUUUCUAAUAAAUUUGAGGCCCCUCUCAAAACCCUCUCACACUUUUUACAAUAAUGAUAGCAGAACGGAAAAUACACCCUCUUUUUAAAAUUGCCAAUAAUGCUUUAGUAGAUCUUCCUGCCCCAAUUAAUAUUUCAGCCUGAUGAAAUUUUGGGUCUCUUCUAGGAUUAUGCCUAGUAACCCAAAUUAUCACAGGCUUAUUCUUAGCAAUACAUUACACAGCAGAUGUAGCCAUCUCAUUCAAUACAGUAGCUCAUAUUACCCGAGACGUAAACUACGGAUGGCUUCUACGAGUCAUACACGCCAAUGGAGCCUCUAUAUUCUUCAUUGCCCUGUACCUCCAUGUAGGACGAGGGAUCUACUAUUCAUCGUAUACUUAUACAAUGACUUGAACGAUAGGAGUCUUAAUCUUAUUUUUAGUAAUAGCAACUGCUUUCAUAGGAUAUGUAUUAAUUUGAGGACAAAUGUCAUUUUGAGCCGCCACAGUAAUUACAAAUUUAUUGUCAGCAAUCCCUUAUAUAGGUUUAAUAUUAGUACAGUGAAUUUGGGGGGGGUUCGCGGUAGAUAACGCUACACUCACGCGAUUUUUUACAUUCCACUUUGUUCUACCAUUCAUUAUCGCCGGAAUAACAUUAGGCGAGAAGUUAUUUGAUUUUCGUGAAAAUUAAGUCAGAUUGUUCAUA
This is an RNA transcript of Folsomia candida, 1521 nucleotides long. It is a transcript of the gene named cytochrome b-like, with no coding region annotated. The record is from RefSeq and is a predicted model, not a curated record. NCBI's taxonomy places the organism in Eukaryota, Metazoa, Arthropoda, Collembola, Entomobryomorpha, Isotomidae. The transcript has a single exon.